Molecule: microRNA precursor, 125 nt
Filed under: Aquilegia coerulea
Lineage: Eukaryota; Viridiplantae; Streptophyta; Magnoliopsida; Ranunculales; Ranunculaceae
Description: Aquilegia caerulea miR529 stem-loop (aqc-MIR529)
Gene: aqc-MIR529
Source: miRBase by way of RNAcentral
AGAGAUGAGAGAUAUGUUGACAGAAGAGAGAGAGCACAACCCAUCAUCAGCUAAAGAGAGUCUUUUCUUUUGUUGGGAGUGUGCUCUUUGCUCUUCUGUCAUCAUCACCAAAUCUCUCUCUCUCU